This 316-nucleotide ribosomal RNA is filed under the name uncultured bacterium. Its description in RNAcentral is "bacterial SSU rRNA". It matches the Rfam family "Bacterial small subunit ribosomal RNA", at positions 28 to 334 of the family's 1533-position model. The record is from RNAcentral.
GAUGAACGCUAGCUACAGGCUUAACACAUGCAAGUCGAGGGGCAUCAGGAAGGAAGCUUGCUUUCUCCGCCGGCGACCGGCGCACGGGUGAGUAACACGUAUGCAACCUGCCCCUGUCAGGGGGACAACCCGCCGAAAGGCGGGCUAAACCCGCGUACAUGCCACCGGGGCAUCCCGGAGGCAGGAAAGGCUUCGGCCGGACAGGGAUGGGCAUGCGGCGCAUUAGGCAGUAGGCGGGGUAACGGCCCACCUAACCGACGAUGCGUAGGGGUUCUGAGAGGAAGGUCCCCCACACUGGUACUGAGACACGGACCAG